Molecule: long non-coding RNA, 578 nt
Organism: Equus quagga
Lineage: Eukaryota; Metazoa; Chordata; Mammalia; Perissodactyla; Equidae
Exons: 3
Source: RefSeq, a predicted model, not a curated record
UGUGUUUUCCUUAAGCAACCAGAAUCACAAAAGUCAACUAGGUCCAUUUCUAUAAAACCCUCAAACUACUUAUGCAUUUAUUGAAUUCAGGGAAGAAAUGUCAGGUCUGCGAUUUGAUUAGCGUUUCUGAGAUACAACUACUGGCGAUUUGGUUAAAUUGUGCACCUUCCAGCCUUGUGUGAAGACUUUCCAUGUGACCUCUGGGUCGCUCCCUGGAUGGCUAUUUAUUAUAUUUACAGCUAGAGAAGGAGGAAAUUUGCUAAAAAAUAAAACCCAGGGAAAGACCAGUGCUGAGGGGAGCUGUGUGUGAGAGAUUGACGGCACUGCUGUGUUCAUGCGUGCCCCUCGAGGGACAGCUGGCACGUCACGGUCCCUCACAAAAAUACUUGCUUUAGUUUUUGCAGGAGCGGACAUGGAAGAGCUCAUAUUCAUUCAUAACACAGACUUCAAAAUGAUGAAAGGGGCCGGCCUGUUGCCGAGUGGUUGAGUUCGCGUGCUCCACUUCGGUGGCCCAGGGUUUCGCCGGUUCAAAUCCUGGGCGUGGACAUGGCACCGCUCAUCGGGCCACGCUGAGGCGG